This 908-nucleotide ribosomal RNA is filed under the name uncultured bacterium. RNAcentral's name for it is "bacterial SSU rRNA". It matches the Rfam family "Bacterial small subunit ribosomal RNA", at positions 33 to 946 of the family's 1533-position model. The record is from RNAcentral.
ACGCUGGCGGCGUGCUUAACACAUGCAAGUCGAACGAUGAAGCCUAGCUUGCUAGGUGGAUUAGUGGCGAACGGGUGAGUAAUACGUGAGUAACCUACCUUUAACUCUGGGAUAAGCCUGGGAAACUGGGUCUAAUACCGGAUACGACCAAUCUCCGCAUGGGGUGUUGGUGGAAAGCGUUAUGUAGUGGUUAUAGAUGGGCUCACGGCCUAUCAGCUUGUUGGUGAGGUAACGGCUCACCAAGGCGACGACGGGUAGCCGGCCUGAGAGGGUGACCGGCCACACUGGGACUGAGACACGGCCCAGACUCCUACGGGAGGCAGCAGUGGGGAAUAUUGCACAAUGGGCGCAAGCCUGAUGCAGCAACGCCGCGUGAGGGAUGACGGCCUUCGGGUUGUAAACCUCUGUUAGCAGGGAAGAAGAGAGAUUGACGGUACCUGCAGAGAAAGCGCCGGCUAACUACGUGCCAGCAGCCGCGGUAAUACGUAGGGCGCGAGCGUUGUCCGGAAUUAUUGGGCGUAAAGAGCUUGUAGGCGGUUUGUCGCGUCUGCUGUGAAAGGCCGGAGCUUAACUCCGUGUAUUGCAGUGGGUACGGGCAGACUAGAGUGCAGUAGGGGAGACUGGAAUUCCUGGUGUAGCGGUGGAAUGCGCAGAUAUCAGGAGGAACACCGAUGGCGAAGGCAGGUCUCUGGGCUGUAACUGACGCUGAGAAGCGAAAGCAUGGGGAGCGAACAGGAUUAGAUACCCUGGUAGUCCAUGCCGUAAACGUUGGGCACUAGGUGUGGGGGACAUUCCACGUUUUCCGCGCCGUAGCUAACGCAUUAAGUGCCCCGCCUGGGGAGUACGGCCGCAAGGCUAAAACUCAAAGAAAUUGACGGGGGCCCGCACAAGCGGCGGAGCAUGCGGAU